Long non-coding RNA from Amblyraja radiata (thorny skate), 115 nucleotides. RefSeq lists it as uncharacterized. NCBI's taxonomy places the organism in Eukaryota, Metazoa, Chordata, Chondrichthyes, Rajiformes, Rajidae. The record is from RefSeq and is a predicted model, not a curated record. The transcript is spliced from 3 exons.
UCCCGCAGUCCAGCAGUCCAACUGCAACGUCUACGCGAACUGGGGCUCCGAUGUUAAAGCCCCCGGCGGACGAUGGUAAGUCCUGUGGCCAUUUAGCCACGCCGGGCGAUGUUAG